ACCGUUGAGUUAGCAACCCAAAUAAUUCGAAUGGGUAGAUAGAAUCGGAAUAAAAAAAAAUAAAAAAAAAAAAAAAGGAAUUUCAAAACGGAAUCAAAAAAUGAAAUUAGCAAGAAUCGAAUCAAAAAAUUUCUAAUCGAUUUUGAACAUAAAAAAAAAGACAACCAAAACCUAUGGAACGGAGAUAAAUGGGCCCAUUUCUCCAUGAGAAAAUUAUAUUUGUUCACUACAAUAUUGUCAAUAUGACAUUGAAUAUUGAAUAGCAAGAUUGAGAAAAUACUAAAAACAUACAAUAACAAAA
This 301-nucleotide long non-coding RNA is filed under the name Citrus maxima (pomelo). RNAcentral's name for it is "long non-coding RNA (CMAX_LNC004404)". The record is from RNAcentral. Lineage: Eukaryota; Viridiplantae; Streptophyta; Magnoliopsida; Sapindales; Rutaceae.